Molecule: ribosomal RNA, 261 nt
Filed under: uncultured bacterium
Lineage: Bacteria
Description: partial 16S ribosomal RNA
Rfam family: Bacterial small subunit ribosomal RNA
Source: RNAcentral
CCGCGGUAAAACGUAGGAGGCGAGCGUUAUCCGGAUUUACUGGGCGUAAAGCGUACGCAGGUGGCUUCGUUAGUCGGACAUGAAAGCUCCUGGCUUAACUGGGAGAGGUUGUUCGAUACUGCGGGGCUUGAGGUUGGGAGAGGGACGUGGAAUUCCCGGUGUAGUGGUGGAAUGCGUAGAUAUCGGGAGGAACACCAGUGGCGCAAGCGGCGUCCUGGCCCACACCUGACGCUGAGGUACGAAAGCGUGGGUAGCAAACAG